GAGCCUAUAGCUCAAUGGUAGACUGUGUGAUUAACAUGCACAAGGUCCUGGGUUCAAUCCCCAGUACUUCCA
RNAcentral lists this transfer RNA (72 nucleotides) under Camelus ferus (Wild Bactrian camel). It matches the Rfam family "tRNA". From Rfam's summary of the family: Transfer RNA (tRNA) molecules are approximately 80 nucleotides in length. Their secondary structure includes four short double-helical elements and three loops (D, anti-codon, and T loops). Lineage: Eukaryota; Metazoa; Chordata; Mammalia; Artiodactyla; Camelidae. The record is from Rfam by way of RNAcentral.